Molecule: long non-coding RNA, 311 nt
Filed under: Equus caballus (horse)
Lineage: Eukaryota; Metazoa; Chordata; Mammalia; Perissodactyla; Equidae
Description: lncRNA (ENSECAG00000047481.1)
Source: RNAcentral
GGGGGAGUAAAGGGAGGGAGUGCUCCCCAGAAAUCAGUUACUUAAAGGAAGCCGUUGCUGCUGCUUGGUGUGGAGAAGUCAAGAGGAAGAGUGGAGGCUGCACCCCUGCAGACAUUCCUGGAACUGAGCAGAGGGAGCCUUGCACGAUAGGAGAGGGCUGAGAAUCUGCUGCCUCUGGAUGGAGUGAGAACUGCUCGAGUGUGGAGGACGGAUUGGAGCAGGGAGUAUAAGGAGGCAGUCUGAGCAAUUAGGAUGCACUUCUGAUCCUGGGCCUGUUUCCCCAUCCAUAAGGCAAAGGGGCUGAGCGGAAG